This 1772-nucleotide long non-coding RNA is filed under the name Homo sapiens (human). RNAcentral's name for it is "HSALNT0050764". The record is from RNAcentral. Lineage: Eukaryota; Metazoa; Chordata; Mammalia; Primates; Hominidae.
ACUGGGCUCUCUGCCAGCUGCUCGCCUUUCCCCCUCCGGGAUUGUCUGCACUCGGGGCGCUAACGAGUUCCAUCUGGGCGCCCCGCGGUUCCUCAGGGCUGUCCGUCUUCAGAGCCACGUCCUUCCCCAGCCCGUUCUCCGAGAGCCGUUCUCCCCCGAGCCUUUGCAGUCUUAGGCGUUCGCCCUCCUUGGGCCGCCUCCCACGAACCCUGUCUUCACCAAGAACCGGAGCGAACACAGCUCCGGCCCCAGAGCCCUCGGGAAGUGUCUCCAGAGUAUUAUUCUCUUCUGCGCCCGCCCGCUAAGCUUGUCCCAUUCAAGGCCUUUAGGCGUCCUCUGAGACCUCAGGACAUCAGAGGCCUCUCCUCGGAUUGUCGUCCCGCCGGCCGCCACAGCUGCUGCCUGCCGUCUUGGGCAUUUCUUCCAUACUCCAUCUGCUCAUGCUUUCCUCGGAAUGGGACGUUUGCCGGGGGUUUGUCUGGGGCUGGGCCCAGAAGCCCAUCAGGUUGAGUCCAAGUCCCAGUGUGUGGCCCUGAGGCAGCCUGCCUUCUAGUCGCCUGGAGUAGGAGGAUGGAUUAUUUAAUUUCUUCCCUUCUGGAGGAUGGCAUGAAAAAGCAGGGAGCUAGGAGACAUGACCUUUAUCUGGGCCAUUCUCACCUUUUAGCAUAGGGAUUUGGGGUUGCUGUAUCUUAACUAUCAGGCUGCAAGUUUUUUUUCUUUGAGACGGAGUCUCACUCUGUCGCCUAGGCUGGAGUGUGAUGGCGCGAUCUCGGCUCACUGCAAGCUCCGCCUCCCGGGUUCAAGCGAUUCUCCUGCCUCAGCCUCCCGAGUAGCUGGGACUACAGGUGCGCGCCACCACGCCCAGCUAAUUUUUGUAUUUUUAGUAGAGAUGGGGUUUCACCAUGUUGGCUAGCAUGGUCUCGAUCUCUUGACCUCGUGAUCCAGCCGCCUCGGCCUCUUAAAGUGUUGGGAUUACAGGCGUGAGCCACCGCACCCCGCCCAGACUGCAAAUUCUUGAAGAGCAACAUCUGCAGCGGAUUGACCCUUGUGUCCCAGCCAGAGACCUAGCGGAGUGUACCGUCAGCAUGGAAUCAACAUCAGACCAGUGCCAUCAUUGUCUCAGUGCCAGUCCUCAGUGGCUGCAAGGCCUGGGCCGCCCCUUCUUCCUGUGACUGUUCCUAUCUGUAGGCAUGCCAUCCCACAGGCGCCUAGCACUUGGAAGGCAUUCCUUCAAUAAAUGUCGGUGGAGUCUGGAAAGAAGGUGCUGAGGUUGGGGGUGAGCAAAGAGCAACCGUCUCCAUCCCAGCUCUGUCUCCGGUUAAGCAGUGGGGAAGGUCUCAGCUGUAUUGAUGCUGAAACACUUGGGCCAUGCCACUGGCAAAGGACUUGAGGCCUCUAAGGGCCAAGUAGGAAUCGAUAGUUGACUCUUCCCCUGGCAGUUCAGCAUACUGGUUGAAGAGCCAGGUUUGCAAACAGACCUGGGUUCCAAUUCUAGCUCUGCACCUUCCUAGUUGUAGGAACUUAGGCAAGAUAAUUUUUUGAAACUUCAGCAUCUUUGUGGAGAUAACCAGUCUAUUAUUAAACUACCCUAUAGUUAUUGCAAGGAUUACGCAAAGCUGAAUGUCUAAAGGUGCUCAACACAGGGCCUGCCACUCACUCCAUGCAUGGGCAACAGGGGCUCUCUUUGCUGUGUCUUAUGAAAUGUAGCAUGCACAGCAGUCAGCAACCACUUGGGCCCAAUUAUGUAUCAUCCCUGGGGCACAGAACCUCCC